UACGUAGGGGGCGAGCGUUGUCCGAAGUUACUGGGCGUAAAGCGCGCGUAGGCGGUUUCUUAAGUCUGGUGGGAAAGGUUCAGGGCUCAACCCGAACAGUGCACUGGAUACUGGGAGACUUGAGUAUGGGAGAGGAGAGCGGAAUUCCUGGUGUAGCGGUGAAAUGCGUAGAUAUCAGGAGGAACACCGAUGGCGAAGGCAGCUCUCUGGCCUGUAACUGACGCUGAGGUGCGAAAGCGUGGGGAGCAAACAGG
RNAcentral lists this ribosomal RNA (254 nucleotides) under uncultured bacterium. RNAcentral's name for it is "partial 16S ribosomal RNA". It matches the Rfam family "Bacterial small subunit ribosomal RNA", at positions 524 to 776 of the family's 1533-position model. The record is from RNAcentral.